UUGUCUUAUUUUAAAAUAUUUAAUUUAACUUUUAAGUGAAAAGGCUUAAAUUGCAUAAAGGGACGAUAAGACCCUAUAAAACUUAAUAUAAAGUAUUUUAUUUUUUAUAUUUGUUAGUUUAUUAGUGAAUAAUAUAUGGUAUAUUUUGCUGGGGCGGCAGAGAUACACACAGAACUGUCUUUUAUAAGAACAGAAGUAUUUGGUUUAAAUGAUCCUUUAUUUAGAGAUUUAAAGAUUAAGUUACUUUAGGGAUAACAGCGUAAUCUUUUUUGAGAGUUCUUAUCGAUAGAAGGGAUUGCGACCUCGAUGUUGAAUUAAAAGUUCUUUAUGGUGCAGCAUUUAUAAAAGAAGGUCUGUUCGACCUUUAAUUUUUUA
Molecule: ribosomal RNA, 375 nt
Filed under: Paraspongicola inflatus
Lineage: Eukaryota; Metazoa; Arthropoda; Malacostraca; Decapoda; Spongicolidae
Description: partial 16S ribosomal RNA
Rfam family: Bacterial large subunit ribosomal RNA
Source: RNAcentral